This 871-nucleotide long non-coding RNA is filed under the name Capra hircus (goat). RNAcentral describes it as "lncRNA (ENSCHIG00000001664.1)". Lineage: Eukaryota; Metazoa; Chordata; Mammalia; Artiodactyla; Bovidae. The record is from RNAcentral.
GUGGAUUCUGAUGGACUAAUAUAGAAGCAAGGAUUUCAAAAGGCUGAGUAAGAGCUAAUAGGAUCUGAACUAGGGCAGCAGAAGUAGAGAGGGGAGGGACAGAUUGGAAAAGGAAUUAAGAGGUCAGCUGGACUUGGUGACUGGUCAGACGUGGGGGAUGAGAAAGAAAGGAGGGUGCUGGGGAUCCACAAGGCGCAGAGGUGAACUGGUCCAGGAGACUUUUCCUAUAGCCAAUGGGAGAAUCCACCUUCAAGCUACCCGCCUUUUAAGAAGUUAUCAGAAAUUGUUUGCAGAUACCAUCUGCAGACCUCAGCUCGCACGCACGCCAGACCUCCCGGGAGACCCGAAGCCUGACUUCGGGUCAAUCACAGCUCCUGGACACAGGGAAGAGAUGACAGACUUUGAACUAAGAAAACUCAGUGAUGAAAACAACAACUCAAAUCGCCUGGAAGCGUUGUUUUUUUUUUUUUCAUUCUGUUGAAGAAUUAUCAGCAAAAUGUUUCUGAAUAUUGAGAUAAGUUAAUAUAUGUCAGGCAGUGAAGUGAACUGAAAAUCGUUCAGUCGUGUCUGACUCUUUGUGACCCCAUGGACCGCAAACUGCCAGGCUCCUCUCUCCAUGGAAUUCUUCAGGCAAGAAUACUGGGGUAGGUUGACAUUUCCUUCUCCAAUAUGUCAGGCAAGUUUUCAUUUAAAAAAAAAAGUUUAAUGUUUUUAAUCUAUCUCAGCACUUCUGUGUAACAGUGUAGAAAGAGGAUGGGCUUAGGAAUAUCGUAAAUUCAAGACAAGUAAAAACAUGAAGCCAUAUGUUUAAAGAGCAAUUUGAAGCACUUAUCAGUAUUCUUCACACAAUUAUAACAGCUCACGUUUUCGA